This is a long non-coding RNA of Sorex fumeus (smoky shrew), 1789 nucleotides long. RefSeq lists it as uncharacterized. The transcript has 3 exons. The record is from RefSeq and is a predicted model, not a curated record. NCBI's taxonomy places the organism in Eukaryota, Metazoa, Chordata, Mammalia, Eulipotyphla, Soricidae.
AGGCUGCAUUUUAUAUUUUUAUUCAAUUGAAAGUACAGGUGAUCAUGUGUAGUUCCCAGAAUAAUUUCAUUUUAUUAAGGAUAGUUUAGAAAUAGCUAAGCAAUUUUCCUGUUAGAUCAGAAAUUUUUUUUUUUUAGAUAGUGGAUAUAGUUUAUAAGAUACGGCUAGGAACGUGUGAACAGGUGCAGUUCUAUGGUACAGAUAAUAGGUGAUGCCAGUUGAUUGUAGUUGCAGUAAGUUGAUGCUGCUGUUAUUAGUGGAAGAAAUAAUAUAGAUUGAUAUGCCAGGAUAAGUAAAUUUGUUUCUCCAAUUGGGUCAAAGGAUCUUAACUACAUGUUAAAUUUGCAAUUGCUUAGGAAUAUUUAUUCUGCUUCUUGUGCCAGGAUUUAACAUACACUUGGAUCUUCACAAGGAACAGGCAUUUUUAUUUUUAAACAAGUUGGAUCUUGUAGGUAUGAAAAACUAAUUGAUAAUGUAACUUUAUGAAAAGAUUCAAGUCCUUGUUGAGAUAAUAUUCAGUGUUUUUACCAAAUAGCAACUGUCCAGCUUCAGUAUUUUGCAUCAUUGGUUUUUUUUGUUGUUGUUGUUUUUGACUAGGGCACUAAAUAGCAUCUAAUGGAAAUAACCACCGAAUUAUGGCAUGCUUUUUCUUGCCAGUCCUUUAAGAUGCACAUCUCCAUCACCUUCUUUAAAGUAGAAUUAGUUUUGUGUUUAAAUAUAUUUGCCAAGUAGUGCCACAAAUAUCAAAGCUGCCAGCAUAGAACUAACUUAGCUGAAUUAAAGCUAUAAAUUAUUAGGGCAAUAAAAGAUGAGGAUUUAUUUUAGAAUUGAUGGGGCGCUUAUAAACAGUAACUAGCAUGAUUUUAAAGGUAGAAGUUAAAUCCUUGAGCAUCGAAAUUUAUAUAGUUAAGGAAGUUUUGGGGCAAACCUUGGUAAAGUAGAAGAGUGAACUGUUCCAAUUUACUUUUUUCUUUUAAAGCAAAUAAAGCAAAAAAAAAAAAUUGUGUGCUGACAAAAUCUCAUCUCCUUUUCCUUAGUCUGUCCAUGUGAAUGUGCUGUGUGGAAGAGUAAAAGGGCCCAACUAAAUGUGUUCCAGUGAUUCCAAUAGCUAUUUAGCUGGUACCUACUGCUAUAUCACCUAGUGUGAAAUUUGGAAUUAAUGGACCAAUGAAGAGUGCUGUCCAGCUGGAAGCUUCAAAUGGGCAUGAAAGGUCUUCAGUUUCAUGGCGUCUGCUGUGAGAAUGAAGUCUUGAAAAUUUAUUGAAGACUUGGAAAUACUUACCAGCCAGCAGAGGUUAAUCACUAAGGGUAAGAUUCAUCAGUAUGCUAGAGGUAGAGAGAACAUUAGCUCUUAACCUCGAUGUCCAGUUUGACAUCUUCCCUACUAAAAUGAAGAUUGAAAGCAGAAAUGGUCUGACAUUUUUAAAAAGGUCAGCGCCUCCCCCCACCCUUGCAGUGUUACAGUGUAAAUGGAAUGACCCACAUCAUAGGAUUAAAAAAAAAUUAUUGGGUCUUAAGUGGUUCGAAAAUGUAGCUUGCAUAAGGGUGGGCAGAGAGAUGUCCUUGCCUAAGUUGCAUUUACAUGAUUACCUUCCUUGCCUAAUGAAAAUUGCACUUUUAGGUAUUGCAGAUGAAUAGAAUCAAUAAAAUUCUUGAAAUAAGUGGUAGGUAUAGUAUUUUAUACAUCACACAGCCAGUGUACCCUCUUGACAAUCAGGAGGUGGGCCUAGGAGGAAAACGGCUAUUACUGAAAUGAACUGGACUGGGGUAAGCCUCAGUUGGGGAAAAA